Non-coding RNA from Pelobates cultripes (western spadefoot toad), 277 nucleotides. Lineage: Eukaryota; Metazoa; Chordata; Amphibia; Anura; Pelobatidae. The record is from the annotation of a GenBank genome assembly.
GGAUUACUGCAUGGACUCUAUCCUUACAGGGAUGGCCGUUAGAAGUCCGUUAUAAACAUAAUAAGAGAAGCCCAGUUGCCCAAGGUUUAGCAGAAUUACAUGACUGUACUGCUCCAUCUCUGGAUGAUAAUAACACCGGAGAUGACUUCCUAGAAGAGCAAUUGCUAUCUCCUUAUAAAGUUUAUGACGAGGAAUACUGUCGACCACUACCGUGGGUAUACAUUGAUGGUUGUUCAUAUCACCACGUCGCUGGUGCUGAACGGAAGUUAGUUGCAGG